GGGACGGUGGCGUAAUGGCUAUCGCAUUGGAUUGCAGAUCCACAGGUUCUGGGUUCGAUUCCCAGUCGUCCCU
Molecule: non-coding RNA, 73 nt
Organism: Cunninghamella echinulata
Lineage: Eukaryota; Fungi; Mucoromycota; Mucoromycetes; Mucorales; Cunninghamellaceae
Source: the annotation of a GenBank genome assembly